This 459-nucleotide ribosomal RNA is filed under the name uncultured bacterium. Its description in RNAcentral is "partial 16S ribosomal RNA". It matches the Rfam family "Bacterial small subunit ribosomal RNA", at positions 338 to 795 of the family's 1533-position model. The record is from RNAcentral.
CCUACGGGCGGCAGCAGUGAGGAAUAUUGGUCAAUGGCCGCAGGGCUGAACCAGCCAAGUCGCGUGAGGGAUGACGGUCCUAUGGAUUGUAAACCUCUUUUGUCAGGGAGCAAAGGGCGCCACGUGUGGCGCUUUGCGAGUACCUGAAGAAAAAGCAUCGGCUAACUCCGUGCCAGCAGCCGCGGUAAUACGGAGGAUGCGAGCGUUAUCCGGAUUUAUUGGGUUUAAAGGGUGCGCAGGCGGAAUGUCAAGUCAGCGGUAAAAUUUCGGGGCUCAACCCCGUCGUGCCGUUGAAACUGGGGGCCUUGAGUGGGCGAGAAGAAGGCGGAAUGCGUGGUGUAGCGGUGAAAUGCAUAGAUAUCACGCAGAACCCCGAUUGCGAAGGCAGCCUUCCGGCGCCCUACUGACGCUGAGGCACGAAAGUGCGGGGAUCGAACAGGAUUAGAUACCCCAGUAGUC